This 8379-nucleotide long non-coding RNA is filed under the name Sus scrofa (pig). Its description in RNAcentral is "lncRNA (ENSSSCG00035008952.1)". The record is from RNAcentral. Lineage: Eukaryota; Metazoa; Chordata; Mammalia; Artiodactyla; Suidae.
CAGUACUUUUAAGAUGCUGCUUCACUGUUUCUACCCUGAAUUAUUUCCAGUGAGAAGUCUGCUGUCCUUCUCUUUUCCCCCAUACAUACUGUAUCAUUUUUGCUGUUUAAGUUUUUCUCUUUUUAAUUUUAUGGUACCACAGAAUAAUUUUACGUGUGUGUUUGUGUGUGUGCACAUGCACACCUAGGCUAGUUUAAUUUCUUGGAUGUUUGCAUUUAUAGUUCUUUUCAGAUUUGGAAAUUUUUCCACUGUUAUUUCUUUAAAUAUUUUUUUCUCUUCCCUCUUUUCUCUCCUUCAAGGGCUCCGAUUAUACUUUUAUUAAGCCAUUUGAAAUUGCACCAGAGAUCACUUUGCUUUAUUAAAUUUCCCCCUUUUUUUCUCUCUGUUUCAUUUUAGAUGGUUUUUAUUACUAUUCAUCUAGUUUAAUAACUCUUUUUUUUUUUUGCAACAUUGAAUCUGCCAUUAACCGUCUGGUAUAGUCUUCAUCUCUAGAAAUUUGAUUUGGAUCUAAUUUAUAUCUUGUAUGUCUCUACUUAACAUAUUUGAUAUUUCCUCUAGCUUCUUGAACAUAUGGAAUACAGUUAUAACAACUUUUUAAUGUCCUUGUAUACUAAUUCUAUCAUCUGUUCCAUUUCUGGGUUAGUUUUAAUUUACUUUUUUCUCCUCAUUCUGGGUAAAAUUUUUUUCCUCUUGGCAUAUCUGGUAAUUUUUUGUUAGAUGGUAGAUAUUGCGAAUUUUACCUUGUUUGCUCUGGGUGUUUUUGCAUUCCCACAAAUAUUCUAGAGCUUCGUUUGGGGGGCAUAAUUAACUUACUUGGAAACAGCUCUAUUCUUUGAGGUUUUGUUUUUAAAACUAUGUUAAGUGGAAUCAGAGCAGCAUUUAAUCUAAGGCUAAUUUUCUCCCACUACUGAGGCAAACAUAUUCCUCCUACCCAAUAUCCCAAGAGUUAUUUGAAACAGUCUGGGUUCUGAGAUGGUUCCCUCUCACGUGGCUCUUUUUCUGGCUUCAGAGGUUUUCCCACAUGUAUGUGCUGAUCAGCACUCGGCUGAGGAGUCAAGCAGCAUUGCCCUGUGGAGCUUUCUCCUCUCUGGUGCUCUCCCCUGGAGACCCCAGCCACCAUGUCUUCCCUGGGCUCCCAGCUCCAGCUCCUCAGUCAGGGAGAUUGUGGUUCAUCUCAUUUCCUUAUCACCUCUCCAGGGGUCACUGGUCUUUGUUGCCUAAUGUUCAAUGUUUUUGAAAAAUCAUUCAUUCAUAUAUUUUGUCGAGAAUCCAUUUGUUUCUAGCAGCAUGGUAAAUGCAGACCCUGUUACUGAGUCUUGGAAUUGUAGGAAGGGGAACUGAGACUCAUUAUUUUAUUUAUUUAUUUUUCUUUUCUUUUUCAAAAAAAAUGUUUUAGUUUUUGUUGUUGUUGUCUUUUGUCUUUUGUCUUAUUAGGGCUGCACGCACAGCAUAUGGAGGUUCCCAGGCUCUUAAUCCAAUAAAAGUUGUAGCCACAGCCACAGCAAGGCCAGAUCCAAGCCAUAUCUACGACCUACACCACGGCUCACAGCAACACCGGAUCCUUAACCCACUGAGCGAGGCCAGGGAUCAAACCCACAACCUCAUGGUUCCUAGUCAGAUUCAUUUCCACUACACCACAAUGGGAACUCCUAAAAAUUUUUUAAUUGUAGUUGAUUUUUUUCUUUUCUUUUUUAAAAAAUGUUUUACUAUAGUUGAUCGAGACUGGUUCUUUUAUUAUCAGAAUAUUGUGAACAUGCCCCAAAGCAUCUAGCCCUACACGUCUGUGGACGCUACCCUGAAAACUUGUCUGUGGAAAAUUCUUCCAAAUUCCAAGCAGCUCAUAAAUGAAAGUAUUCCAUAGGGAUUUUCUCCAACUUGACCAAAAAGUCACACACGCAUCUCCCUAAAUCCAAACUAAACUUGCCCCGUGCUCAGCUCACUUUUGGUCAGGUUUCAAAAAGCCUGUGUUCACCCCAUCAGGGUGAUGGGGGGAUGUCAGGGCAGAAGCAGACAGACCCCUCUGUUGUGUUCAUUGUGUGGCUGGUCACACUUUUAUAAAAUUUGCCAUAAGAGGAUUGUUUGUGCAAUCCUCCACACGUGAGGAACCCUGGAGUGUGGCCUCAUUAGCUUCAAAGUGAAUCUGCCUCUCUGUUAUUCACUUCUAGUGAAAAACCUCAGUCACAACCUGGUCUGUGAAUUUCAGGAUCUGCUAAUGGGUCACCACCCGCCGUCAGACCCUUUGCUCCGCCCGAGUCUUCAGAUGACAGGGCAGCUGGGGUGCCCUCUGCAGGAGGAGGCUGGGGGACUGGGGGCUUGCUGGCUGAGGUGGGGGGGGCUGUCCCUUUUGGUCCUCCGUGCAUUUGGUGGCAGAGAUGAGGGUAGGGAAAAUGUCAGGUGCACCAGAUCCAUUUUUCUCCCACACGUGAUAAAGACACCGGGAUGACACCUUGAUUUGUACUAUUCGAGACAAAUCUGGCAUCUAAGGACGCUGAGACUCGGUCCUCACGAUCUCAGGGAUGAAAAGUAGGUUUCCCAGGCACUGGCACUAGCGUUGGCUCUGCAAGCUGAGGUCGUAGCGCUCACCAACACGCAAUGUCUCUUUCCAGAAUCGAAGACCAGAGACAGAUUAUUGAACGAUGAAAUUUGAUGGGUUUUUUUUUUUUUUUUGAGUUAAGUAAACGAACACAAAGUGUAAAAUACCCUACUAGCUGUUUCACGGAAGACAAUUCUCACCCCUUGCUAGUGGGCCUCUAAGAAAAGUCGAGAACUGCUUCGAGCCAUCCGUACAAUUUGAGAAACACCCGGGGAACUUUUCCCAAUGGGUUGCAUUGAAGAGUUGGAAACGACUGUAGCAGACCCCUAGCAAAAAGCUUUACACAAUUCAGCACUGAAGUUCUUUCCUGGAAACUUAUAUUGGUCCAAAGAAUACAGGUGAAAGGAUGAUGAGAGCUCUAGAACCAUCUUAUAGUGUAUAACAAUCAGGAUACAUUUUUUUGGCCACACCUGCAGCGUAUGGAAGUUCCCAGGCCAGGGACUGAACCCACGUCACAGCUGUAGCCAGAGUCACAGCAGUGACAGUACCAGAUCCUUAAUCCACAGAACCACCAGGGAACUCCUGGAUUUUGUUGUUGUUGUGGGUUUUUUUUUAUUUUGGGGGGGGGCCGCAUCUGCAGCAUAUGGAGGUUCCCAGGUUUGGGGUCAAAUCAGAGCUGCAGUUGCUGGCCUACACCACAGCCACAGCAAAGCCAGAUUUGAGCUGCAUCUGCAAUCUACAGUGUAGCUCAUGGCAACACCAGAUCCUUAACCCACUGAGCAACACCAGGGAUCAAACUCGCAUCCUCAUGGAUACUAGUCAGGUUGGCAACCUGCUGACCCACGACGGGAACUCCCUCCUGGAUUUUUUUUUUUAAUAGCCGUAUUUCCUGUGUCCAUGCUAGUAAUAUAUUAUGCUUCCCAAUAAUUAUUUUUUAAUACAUCAAGGGCAGGGCCACAUUAUAAUUUUAUUGUCUCUAGACAGUUCAGGGGAACUUUCUUCCAUAGAAAUAUUUAAAAUUAUAUUUUACAUUUAAAGUAUAAGAAUCUUUUUCAUUGAAAAAGAAAACUAAAACCCAGGCUGAAUUAAGAAUUAAGACAUUUUCUUCAGCCCUAAAAGCUGUUUUCUUUCCUUCUGAUUUUCAAAGAAAUCAAGAUAUUUUGCGGUUCUCUAAAAGUUCCAUGGACCCUAAACACUGUGUCUGGUAGAUAAAUCACCCCGAGUGAAGGAAGGCAUGAGGCCAGUGACACGCAAGCCACCAGAGAGCAGGUCCCCAGGCAGAGGGAGGGAACUUGGGUUUCCCAGUUUCCUGUGAGAGAAGUUACCUGCUGCGUGACCACCUCCCAACAUUUAGGCUGACUUCUUAGUCUGAUGCCUGAGAUUAGGGAUUCUUCUUGGGGCUUUUUAAUUCUUUUCAAAAAGAAGUAUAAAAUAGCUUUAUUUCUGACUGACAAUGAAUGAGGUGCUCCGAGAUUUCCUACUUAGGGACACUGGAUUCUUGACGAGACAAUCAUUUUCUUUUUUUUUUUUUAAAGUAUAGUUGAUUUUCAGUGCGGGACCAAUUUCUGCAGUACCGCAAAGUGGCCCAGCAUACGUGUAUUCCCUUUCCUAGGUUAUCGUCCAUCCUGCUCCACCCCAAGAGACUGGAUCUCGUCCCGGUGCUGUACAGCAGGACCUCAGGGCUGAACCAUUCGAACGGUUAGAGUUUGCACCUGCUAACCCCAAACUCCCCGUCCAUCUCACUCCCUCCCCCUCCCCCUUGGCAACCACAAGCCUACUCUCUGUGUCUGUGCGUCUGUUCCUGUUUUGCAAAUAGGUUCAUUUGUGCCGAAAUUUUAAAUUCCGCAUAUAAGUGAUCACAUAUCAUAAGUGAUAAAUGGCAUUUGUCUUUCUCUUUCUGACCUACUUCACUUAGUAUGAAAAUCUCUAAUUGCAUCCAGGCUGCUGCAAAUGGCAUGAUUUUGUUCAUUUUUGUGGCUGAGUAGUGUUCCGUUGUGUAUAUAUACCACAUCUUCUUUUUGUUUGGUUGGUUUUUGUUUUUUGCCUUUUCUAGGGCCACUCCUGCAGCAUAUGGAGGUUCCCAGGCUAGGGGUCUAAUCAGAGCUGUAGCCACCAGCCUACACCACAGCCACAGCAAGGCAGGAUCCGAGCCACAUCUGUGUGGUGUAGGCGGCAGACGCGGCUCAGAUCCCGGGAUGCUGUGGCUGUGGCGUAGGCCAGAGUCUGCCCCUCCCCGGAGGGGCCCCCAUUCGAUUCUGAUUUGGUUCUGAUCACCUCACGGAUGACAGCAGUUCCCAAAAUGAACAUGUGCAGCGGGACUGGGUGGCGCGUGGCAGCCGAAGAAGGAGACUUUGUUGGGGUUGGGUCUUCAGGCCCUGGGGGGUCAACACCAAGAUGCCGUCCAGUUGGCAGGUGGGAGGGGGUCUCCUUCCUGUGACCCCGGCCUCCUUUGGCCUUUAGGGCAAGAAGCGGACCGAGCUGCCUGCAGGGAACAGGUCUGCUCCGAGCCCCGCCUGUGCUCUGCCCCUGGACCUACCUGAUCUGGAGGCUUAGCUCUGAGACCCCGGAGAGUGGUCUGCUUGGCUGCCCAGCGCUAAAGAUGCCAGCCUGCCUCCUUGUUCACUGACCCCCUCAGUCCCAGCUUCCUCAGCACCGCGGCGAGGAAGAGGGGUGCUUUGGGGGACAGGGCGCAGAGAUUCUAAUAGAAGGCACAGCGAAAAGGGAGUGGAAAGUCCCUAUUUUUCCCAAGGUGGCGCCAGAAAUUUCAAUCUGGUGAUGUUGGCAUUGAUCCCUGACAGCAUGUCAGUCGGAUCAUUAGGCAGAUGGUUUGCAAAGAUUUAGAAAACAGCAGAGACUCCAGCACGGAAAUCCGUUCCCAAGGCACAUCUCUGGCUUCCGGGUUCUAGACCCGUGGCUCCGGUCACCCAAGAUGUAGCAUCCCCUCCACACCGGCCCCCUAACCCCGGGCAGACCCAUCCCCCAUCUCCCUCUCCCUCCAACCUGCUUUCGGGCCUUCUGCUCAGGAAGGGCUUCACCCUACCCGUGGGGACCCGGCCACCUGCCCCUUCCCCGCUCCCCUUCCCAGGUCCCCCAGCAGGUGCACUUGCCCUCUGGCCUCCCCUCCUCAUCUCUCCCCCAGAGCCUCACCCACCCACCCCCGCGGAAACGUGCCCCACCAAGUGCCCUGGUUGGGCCAGCUCAUGUUUUUCAUGCGCCUUGAAAUUCCCCUGUGCUCUUUCAGGGCAGGCUUGGAUCCCACGGUCUGGGGCGGGGCCUGAGAAUCUGCAUUUCCUACAAGUUCCCAGCCGGUCCCAGGCCAUGCUCUGCACAGCGAGGCUCUGGGCAGCAGAAUAUACAGUCUUCCUCCCUCAGUCCUGGGCCAGUUCCCCACCCCUUAGGGAUAAGACCCCCCUCUCAGCAAGGCCCCCCUCUCAGCAAGGCCACCUUGCAGCAAGGCCCCCUCUGGCCAGGCCACCUCUCAGCAAGGCCUGCCUUCAUCUCCAAACUCACCUCCAUCAGAUCCACCCAACACGGUUCCCAUCAGCCGCCAGGAGCCAGCCCCCCCGUGGGCGGCCGCUCUCACUUCCUGGCCUUUGAAUGCCCUGCACCUUCUCUCCUCUCUCUGCCUGGCCUCCCGCCCCCACGUCCUGUUCAGGUUUGUGUAUUUCUGCUGACACUCAAGACCUGGUUCAAACUGUCCCCGGACUCACGGGCACCCGGAAGGAAGCAGGCUCUCCUUCAUUCAUGCCCCGCCCCCCACACGUGCCACCUUGUUCCGCAGCUAAUGGUUUGGGGGUACCGUGGUCCCUCCCUCUGGACCAGGAGCCCUUGCGCAGGCUUUCCCGUCUCCCCAAGGGCAAGAGCCUGCCCCCUGGUGGUUCACUCCUGGAAGUGAUUCUAGGGAGCAGGUGGGGGCUGGGAGGGAGGCCACCCCCAGAAGGGAUGGGAUUAAGCUCUCCGUGUCUUGGCUCAGGGACCCCCUCCUGCUAGGGCCCAUCUGAGGACAGGCGGAGUGUGGGGGGUUGCCUCUGAGAAGGAAGACGCCGAGAAGGGAGUGCUGGUCCCGCUGGCCCUGCAUCUCCCGUCACCACCCGCCAGGGCUUGGCCCCAGCGUUCUGAUGUCCUGUCAUUUCAAGACUUAUGCGUGUUGCAGAAUGGCUGUGCCGUCCACACGGAGGCGCCAGAGGAAGCUGGGCAGAGAUCCCUGGUGUCACCAGGCAAAGGGCUGCCAGGCUGGGUCCCAGACAGGGCCAAGGGGACAGGUCGAUCAGGAGGGUGGGAGGCGGCCCAAGUCCCUGACAUGGUGGGGAAGGGGGUGCAGCUCCCCUCAGGCAGGGCCCAGAACAGGGACCACCGCCCCGGGCGCAGGGUUGUGACCGCAGGAUGAGGAAAGGAUUAAAGAAGAGCCUUGUUUUCGUUAAGGACCCGGCGGGCAGGCUGACAGCCAGGAACUAGUCAACAUGCGGAAGAGCUUGCGGGAAGGAUGCGAAGCCUGUCCCGAGCCUACGGCCCGAACCCGCAGCCACCGGGGGACCAGCCUCCAAGAACCCAGGCUGAGGACCAGGCCCUUCCUGGCCACCCCUCCUGCUCCAUCCUCCCCGGGCCUCGGCCAGGGCUGACCUUCAGUUCUCAGUCCAAGACUUUUUAAAUCUAUUUACUUAUUUAUUGGCCGUACCCGUGGCACACAGAAGUUCCUGGGCCAGGGAUCGAACCUGAGCCAUAGCAGUGACGAGGCCGGAUCCUUAACCCACGAGGCCACCAGGGAAGUCCUGUUUCAGAGACUUUGAAGUCGGACUGACAGUGAUCCAAUUUACAGAGAAAAUAAAAACUGGAAAAAUAUCAAAUAGAUCAUGGGCAAAGCUAAAGGGAAAGAGAAAGAUGACUUGACGGGGCAGGAAAAAUCAAGGAGUCCGCAGAAGCAGAGCUGGGAGGGAACGAGAGGGAAGCAGGGGCUUGGCGGGCCUUCUGGCGCGCAGACGUUCACGGGUCAAGAGGCAGGAGAGCGAAUUCUGACUCCUCUUUAACCGGAAGUGUGAAUAUGCGAAAUGAAAAACAAGAAUCGCCUCCAUGUGUGUGGUUGUCACAGCAUCACCCUCUAACCCCUGCCGGCCUCCCUGGGACUCCUGUCUCUCCUGGGACGGGAGAAGGCUGAGCUCCCCCUGUGACCCCAUCAAAGCUGGGGGUCCUGGCACUGCCUGUGUCAGCAAGCGCCCGCUGCCGGUCGCCCGUUUUCCAAAAUACUCAAAAUGCGCUGCUUCGCAGGUUUGCUUCUCUUUCUGCUCCUCUCGAUGCGGUUCCCUUCUCAUGAGGGCCCUCAGCAAAGUAAUCUGAACACGAAGCAGAACAGUGAAACACCCAAGACCCGAUCUGGAGCCCGCGGGAAGCAAACCCGUGAAACGGGGCCGCUGCUGAAUUUCCCUCCCAGUCAAGAGGCAGCUGGGGAUUCGCCGGUUACCGUCACAUCUUGGGGUCAACUGGGGGAUGACCUCAGGCUGGCAGUAAAGGCGGAAUUCAAUACUUAGCUGCAGGAUCCUUGGGGAAAUAACCCAAGUUUUCUGUGUUUUGUGUUUUUAAAAGACCAGAACUGGCAGUUUCUGUUGGGAUGCAGAGGAAACGAAUCCGGCGAGUAUCCAUGAGGAUGCAGGUUGGAUCCCUGGCCUCCCUCAGUGGGUUAGGGAUCCAGCGUUGCUGUGAGCUGUGGUGUCAGUCGCAGACGCAGCUGGGAUCGGGCGUUGCUGUGGCUGUGGUGUAGACCAGCAGCUGUGGCUCUGAUUCGACCCCUAGACUGGGAACUUGCGUAUGUCACAGGUGCAGCCCUAAAAAGCAAAAAAAAUUAAAAAAAAAAA